RNAcentral lists this ribosomal RNA (478 nucleotides) under uncultured bacterium. RNAcentral describes it as "partial 16S ribosomal RNA". It matches the Rfam family "Bacterial small subunit ribosomal RNA", at positions 28 to 523 of the family's 1533-position model. The record is from RNAcentral.
GACGAACGCUGGCGGCGUGCUUAACACAUGCAAGUCGAACGGUAAGGCCCUUCGGGGUACACGAGUGGCGAACGGGUGAGUAACACGUGGGUGAUCUUGCCUGCACUUCGGGAUAAGCCUGGGAAACUGGGGCUAAUACCGGAUAGGACCAUUGCCGGCCUGGGGGGUGGUGGAAAGCUUUUGCGGUGUGGGAUGGGCCCGCGGCCUAUCAGCUUGUUGGUGGGGUGAUGGCCGACCAAGGCGACGACGGGUAGCCGGCCUGAGAGGGUGACCGGCCACACUGGGACUGAGAUACGGCCCAGACUCCUACGGGAGGCAGCAGUGGGGAAUAUUGCAAAAUGGGCGCAAGCCUGAUGCAGCGACGCCGCGUGAGGGAUGACGGCCUUCGGGUUGUAAACCUCUUUCAGCACCGACGAAGCGCAAGUGACGGUAGGUGCAGAAGAAGGACCGGCCAACUACGUGCCAGCAGCCGCCGUAA